GCUGGCGGCGUGCUUAACACAUGCAAGUCGAACGGAAAGGCCCUGCUUUUGUGGGGUGCUCGAGUGGCGAACGGGUGAGUAACACGUGAGUAACCUGCCCUUGACUUUGGGAUAACUUCAGGAAACUGGGGCUAAUACCGGAUAGGAGCUCCUGCUGCAUGGUGGGGGUUGGAAAGUUUCGGCGGUUGGGGAUGGACUCGCGGCUUAUCAGCUUGUUGGUGGGGUAGUGGCUUACCAAGGCUUUGACGGGUAGCCGGCCUGAGAGGGUGACCGGCCACAUUGGGACUGAGAUACGGCCCAGACUCCUACGGGAGGCAGCAGUGGGGAAUAUUGCACAAUGGGCGGAAGCCUGAUGCAGCAACGCCGCGUGCGGGAUGACGGCCUUCGGGUUGUAAACCGCUUUCGCCUGUGACGAAGCGUGAGUGACGGUAAUGGGUAAAGAAGCACCGGCUAACUACGUGCCAGCAGCCGCGGUGAUACGUAGGGUGCGAGCGUUGUCCGGAUUUAUUGGGCGUAAAGGGCUCGUAGGUGGUUGAUCGCGUCGGAAGUGUAAUCUUGGGGCUUAACCCUGAGCGUGCUUUCGAUACGGGUUGACUUGAGGAAGGUAGGGGAGAAUGGAAUUCCUGGUAGAGCGGUGGAAUGCGCAGAUAUCAGGAGGAACACCAGUGGCGAAGGCGGUUCUCUGGGCCUUUCCUGACGCUGAGGAGCGAAAGCGUGGGGAGCGAACAGGCUUAGAUACCCUGGUAGUCCACGCUGUAAACGGUGGGUACUAGGUGUGGGGUCCAUUCCACGGGUUCCGUGCCGUAGCUAACGCUUUAAGUACCCCGCCUGGGGAGUACGGCCGCAAGGCUAAAACUCAAAGGAAUUGACGGGGCCCCGCACAAGCGGCGGAGCAUGCGGAUUAAUUCGAUGCAACGCGUAGAACCUUACCUGGGUUUGACAUGGAUCGGGAGUGCUCAGAGAUGGGUGUGCCUCUUUUGGGGUCGGUUCACAGGUGGUGCAUGGCUGUCGUCAGCUCGUGUCGUGAGAUGUUGGGUUAAGUCCCGCAACGAGCGCAACCCUUGUUCACUGUUGCCAGCACGUUAUGGUGGGGACUCAGUGGAGACCGCCGGGGUCAACUCGGAGGAAGGUGGGGAUGACGUCAAGUCAUCAUGCCCCUUAUGUCCAGGGCUUCACGCAUGCUACAGUGGCUGGUACAGAGAGUGGCGAGCCUGUGAGGGUGAGCGAAUCUCGGAAAGCCGGUCUCAGUUCGGAUUGGGGUCUGCAACUCGACCUCAUGAAGUCGGAGUCGCUAGUAAUCGCAGAUCAGCAACGCUGCGGUGAGUACGUUCCCGGGGCUUGUACACACCGCCCGUCAAGUCAUGAAAGUUGGUAACACCCGAAGCCGGUGGCCUAAUCGUUGUGGGGGAGCCGUCGAAGGUGGGACUGGUGAUUAGGACUA
RNAcentral lists this ribosomal RNA (1441 nucleotides) under uncultured organism. RNAcentral's name for it is "16S ribosomal RNA". It matches the Rfam family "Bacterial small subunit ribosomal RNA". The record is from RNAcentral.